This is a small nuclear RNA of Nycticebus coucang (slow loris), 104 nucleotides long. Lineage: Eukaryota; Metazoa; Chordata; Mammalia; Primates; Lorisidae. The record is from RefSeq and is a predicted model, not a curated record.
GUGCUUGCUUUGGCAGCACAUAUGUUAAAAUUGGAGCCAUAUAGAGAUUAGCGUGGCCCUUGCACAAGGAUGACACACAAAUUCGUGAAGUGUUCCAUAUUUUG